GCUCUCACACAUAUAAUCCAUCUCACCCCUUUUGUGCAUCACCGCGUGGGGACCCCUUUUGGCUAGUUCUGAGGGGGGUUUUCACGUUUUUACAAAGACACCCUUUUUAAUGCAAUGUGUAGAAUGUCUUACUUUUUGCGAUCAUACGCAAUCAAUACAACUUUCAACAACGGAUCUCUUGGCUCUCGCAUCGAUGAAGAACGCAGCGAAAUGCGAUACGUAAUGUGAAUUGCAGAAUUCAGUGAAUCAUCGAAUCUUUGAACGCACCUUGCGCCCCUUGGCAUUCCGAGGGGCACACCCGUUUGAGCGUCGUGACAUCCUCAAACCUUCUUGGUUUCUUGACCAGGAAGGCUUUGGACCUUGGAGGUUUUUUUGCUGGCUUUCCUUUGUUGGAGCCAGCUCCUCUGAAAUGAAUUAGUGGGGUCUGCUUUGCCGAUCCUUGACGUGAUAAGAUAUUUUCUACGUCUUGGGUUUGCACUCCUGCUUCUAACCGUCUCACAGAAGACAAACGGUCAAGUGAU
RNAcentral lists this ribosomal RNA (521 nucleotides) under Russula illota. RNAcentral describes it as "eukaryotic LSU rRNA". The stretch from base 159 to 312 matches the Rfam family "5.8S ribosomal RNA". Lineage: Eukaryota; Fungi; Basidiomycota; Agaricomycetes; Russulales; Russulaceae. The record is from RNAcentral.